Molecule: ribosomal RNA, 422 nt
Filed under: uncultured bacterium
Lineage: Bacteria
Description: bacterial SSU rRNA
Rfam family: Bacterial small subunit ribosomal RNA
Source: RNAcentral
UAAGGAAUAUUGGACAAUGGAGGCAACUCUGAUCCAGCCAUGCCGCGUGAAGGAAUAAGGCCCUAUGGGUUGUAAACUUCUUUUAGACGGGACAAAACCCCUUUACGUGUAAAGGGUUGAUGGUACUGUCAGAAUAAGCAUCGGCUAACUUCGUGCCAGCAGCCGCGGUAAUACGAAGGAUGCAAGCGUUAUUCGGAAUUAUUGGGUUUAAAGGGUGCGUAGGCGGACUAAUAAGUCAGUGGUGAAAGCCUGCAGCUUAACUGCAGAAUUGCCAUUGAUACUGUUAGUCUUGAGUACAGUUGAGGUAGGCGGAAUGUGUCAUGUAGCGGUGAAAUGCUUAGAUAUGACACAGAACACCGAUUGCGAAGGCAGCUUGCUAAGCUGUAACUGACGCUGAGGCACGAAAGCGUGGGGAGCAAACA